This 92-nucleotide ribosomal RNA is filed under the name uncultured bacterium. RNAcentral describes it as "partial 16S ribosomal RNA". The record is from RNAcentral.
ACCGCCCGUCACACCAUGGGAUGGGUUCACCAGAAGCAGGUUGCCUAACCGCAAGGAGGCGCCUACCGACGGUGAGCUUCGAUGACUGGGUG